Molecule: non-coding RNA, 24 nt
Filed under: Arabidopsis thaliana (thale cress)
Lineage: Eukaryota; Viridiplantae; Streptophyta; Magnoliopsida; Brassicales; Brassicaceae
Source: RNAcentral
AGCAAAUUAUUUGCCCGAUGUGCU